CCCCCCCCCCGCCUUAUUUCCGGAGCCGGGACCAGCGGCGGAGCGGCGGCGGCUGCUCGGGCACCGGCUUCAUCCCGCUCCUGUCCCCGGGGCUGGCUCCCCGCCUCGGAGCUCGGCUGCCCGCCCAGGAGGAGCGCUGCUCCGAGGAGGAGGAGGAGGAAGGAAGGAAGAGGGAGAGAAGGAAGAAGAAAGGGCUUUUUUCCGUGGCUUCGUGGAUGCUCUACUUUUCCUGGAAAUGCAAAAGAUUAUGCAUAUUUCUGUCUUCCUGGCGCCUGUGGUUUGGGGACUGAUCUGGGGGGUGGAUUCUAACAGCAUCCAGAUCGGGGGGCUGUUCCCGAGGGGCGCCGACCAGGAGUACAGUGCGUUUCGGGUAGGCAUGGUUCAGUUUUCCACCUCGGAGUUCAGGCUCACGCCGCACAUCGACAACCUGGAGGUCGCCAACAGCUUCGCCGUCACCAACGCCUUCUGCUCCCAGUUUUCAAGAGGAGUCUUUGCUAUUUUUGGAUUCUAUGACAAGAAGUCUGUAAAUACCAUAACAUCAUUCUGUGGGACUCUUCAUGUCUCCUUCAUAACUCCGAGCUUUCCAACAGAUGGAACACAUCCAUUUGUCAUUCAGAUGAGACCUGACCUCAAAGGAGCUCUUCUUAGCUUGAUCGAAUACUAUCAGUGGACCAAGUUUGCAUAUUUGUAUGACAGCGACAGAGGCUUAUCAACAUUGCAAGCUGUGCUGGAUUCUGCAGCUGAAAAGAAAUGGCAAGUGACUGCUAUCAACGUAGGAAAUAUUAACAAUGACAGAAAAGAUGAAACUUACCGUUCACUAUUUCAAGAUCUAGAGGUAAAAAAGGAAAGGCGAGUGAUUUUGGACUGUGAGCGUGAUAAAGUCAACGACAUUGUUGAUCAGGUUAUCACAAUCGGUAAGCAUGUUAAAGGAUACCAUUAUAUCAUUGCAAAUCUGGGAUUUACUGAUGGAGAUUUAUCCAAAAUUCAGUUUGGAGGAGCUAAUGUCUCAGGAUUUCAGAUAGUUGACUAUGAUGAUCCUUUGGUGUCAAAAUUUAUACAACGUUGGUCAACACUAGAGGAAAAAGAAUAUCCCGGUGCACACACUAGUACAAUUAAGUAUACAUCUGCUCUGACCUAUGAUGCUGUUCAAGUGAUGACAGAAGCUUUCCGUAAUUUGCGUAAACAGAGGAUUGAGAUCUCCAGAAGAGGAAAUGCUGGAGAUUGUCUUGCAAAUCCAGCUGUACCCUGGGGUCAUGGUGUAGAAAUAGAAAGGGCAUUGAAACAGGUUCAGGUGGAAGGUCUAACAGGGAAUAUAAAAUUUGAUCAGAAUGGAAAAAGAAUCAAUUUUACGAUAAACGUCAUGGAACUCAAAAGUACUGGUCCUCGGAAGAUUGGAUAUUGGAGUGAAGUGGACAAAAUGGUUGUGAAUCCGCUUGAUGGCCCUCUUGGAAAUGAAUCUUCAGGACUAGAGAAUAAGACUAUUAUUGUCACCACUAUUUUGGAGUCCCCAUAUGUUAUGAUGAAGAAAAAUCAUGAAAUGCUUGAAGGAAAUGAUCGAUAUGAGGGCUACUGUGUGGACCUAGCUACAGAAAUUGCUAAGCAUUGUGGAUUCAAGUAUAAGCUCACAAUUGUGGGGGAUGGCAAGUAUGGGGCCAGGGAUGCAGACACGAAAAUCUGGAAUGGGAUGGUUGGAGAACUUGUUUAUGGGAAAGCCGAUAUUGCAAUCGCUCCAUUAACUAUAACAUUGGUGAGAGAAGAGGUGAUUGACUUCUCAAAGCCGUUUAUGAGUCUGGGGAUAUCCAUAAUGAUCAAGAAGCCUCAGAAGUCCAAGCCAGGAGUGUUUUCAUUUCUUGAUCCAUUAGCAUAUGAAAUCUGGAUGUGCAUUGUUUUUGCCUACAUUGGGGUCAGUGUAGUUUUAUUCCUGGUCAGCAGAUUUAGCCCAUACGAGUGGCACACUGAGGAAUUUGAAGAUGGAAGAGAAACGCAAACUAAUGAAUCAACUAAUGAAUUUGGGAUAUUUAAUAGUCUCUGGUUUUCCCUGGGUGCCUUUAUGCAGCAAGGAUGCGAUAUUUCGCCAAGGUUGGUUACUCGCCCAUUUCAACUUUGUGCGUUUUUGGUCUCAGCCAGAGGAGGUUCAUGGUGCAUAUAUUUUCACUCGGAAAGAAAUCAUUGCUAUAGUUUAUUUCUUCCAUACCAAAAUCACAAAAGUCCUUGAAAUAAAGACAGUUCUCUCUGACAAAAGGUAAUGUCUUAAUGUCAAUCAUGUAUUUGCCAAGUGAAGUUGUAUACACCAUGUAGAGACUGUAAAAUGCAUAAGGUUCAAAUCAUUCCAUGCCGUCUUGGAGGGGUACCGUGUUUUUGCUGCAUAUUCCCAUUUUACAGUUGACAUUGCAUUUGGUUCACAGCAACUGUAAUGGGAAAAAAGGGUAAUGUACUAGUCGUGAACUACACAGGCAUCACUUUACCACUAAAACUCACUACAUAUCAUAACACAGUUAUUAAUCCAGUGUUUUUUCUGUAGGAGAGCCUUGAGUUGAAAUAGAAGUCAUGUGAUGGCUCUAAUUUAUUGUGAAUAGUUGCAAAAUGUUGCUGUUUUUCUAUGGCCUAGUUUUAUAUAAGUCACAAAGGAAGUUGCUAAAAUGAAUUUGAAGCUCCAGUUUAUAAAUGCUUAAUUCCUCAUGGAUUUUCACCUACCUUAUUAGGGACAACUCUGAAGCACUUAAGUUAAUUCCUUUGCAGCUCAUUAAAUAUUCUAUUUCCCUUGUGCGCAAGUGGACCUAGCCUUGAUUCAGCAAAGUGAUAAGUAGGUAGAUAAAUAACUACUUGCUGCUUGAAGGAACUGUAGUAAGAAGUGAAAUAGGGCAACUGGAUUUAAGGAAAAAAAGACCUUCCUAACUAUACCAAGCAAGUUAACUUUCUUCUCAAUGUCCUAAAGUAAAACAGGACAUAGUUCAAUUUCCAGUGAGUCUUGUGGCUGUUGUGCAGAUAAAUCAGAUGGAAGGAGCGUCUUAUAUCCAAGUCUUUCAUCUUGAAAGGCAAUGACAGAUUUUCAAGCUCUGCUGCUGCAGACAUAGCAGAGCACUUAGUCUGUGAGAGAACUUCAUAUAUAUCUUACACAGUGAAAGAUGGCUGCGGUUAUGGUGAAAGACAUGAUAGAUUUGGCAUGUAACACAUUAAGAACUGUAUGCAAGAAAUGAGAUGGUGAAGAGAGAUCAAAUUUACUUUGGGUUUUUGUAUUGAUUAUAUACUUUACAAGUUUAGUUGUCUACAAAGUUCUCUAUUAGCUGCAAAAUUAUUUUUAUUGAAUCAAGGCCAUAGUUGAAUUACAAUAUUUUUUUUCAUUUUACUGACUAUUAAAGCAUGACAGUUGUGCAUUGUUUGAUAACAUUUAAAAGGUGUUGCAAGAAUAAUGAUAGUAAAUGGCCAUCAUAAAAGGUGCGUGAAACUGAAAUUAUUUUGGAGAUUCAAGUGGCAGAUUUAUUGUCAGUGAAGUGUUUAACAGCACUUUAUUUCAUUACAAACACAUUUUGAGGAAAGCAUUUAGUUUGUAUAUUAUCUCAGUUUAUUAUGAAAAUAUAAAAGGGCUGCAAACACCUUAGUUAUUUUUGUUCUUGCACCAAAACUCUCCCUAGGGAAUAUGAACUCCCUGCAAAUGAAUUUCAGUAAAUGUGGUUAGGAAUCUCUUCAAACAUUAGAAAAAUAUUUGUAGUUGUAUUAUUUCUCUAAUACGGGUGACUACCCUUGUAAGAAUUGUAGAAUUACCAAGUAGCUAGGGCUUCCUGACUCUGAAAUAGAAGUGGUGCUGAGUAAGACAGGACCAUCUGGAAAUUGGUCUGCAAAAAAAAUUCCCAACGUUGCCAUUGUGGAUGGCACAGAGGAGACAAUGGUAAUAUACAGCAAAGUUUUCCUGAUACUUUUUAUAUGGGAUUGUGCUCUCAGUACUAAUAUAUAAUACCUUUCUAAGUGCAAAACAUGGUGAACAAAUCAAGGUAAUUACGCACAAAAAAUUGGUUUAGUAUUUAAUGAUCUGAUGUAUGAGGUACUUAUACAAGUGUGGGUUCAUGCUAGCGUGUAAUUAUACAACUUUGUAUUUUUUUUCAAAAUACACACAAAAAAAGAAAUGGUUUAUUUAACUGGGACAGACCUUAUCAGAAAAUUCUGAAUACAAAGGGCACCACAAAACUUUUACUUACAAAAUGUUAUGUGGGAGCAUAAUGUCUAUAUUGGUAUUGAGCUUAUUCUUGCUUUACAAGGUCAGUAGCAGUUUUGUUUGAUUACACAUCAUGGGUUUUUAAGACUAUGAAUUAUCAUUUAUAGUAGAUAUCAAUACAAUAAAAAGUACCAUAAAAUUAGCAGGUAUUAAAUGCACAGUCAUAGAUUUUACCUUGCAAAUGUAUAUUUAUCGUAUAAUUCAGUCUUUGAAUUGUAGAAUUAUAUUUUCAGAUUACCUCCAUGUCAAAAUAAGAUAUUUUUUUUCAAAGGUGACAGAAAGCAUGUUUACAGAACACAUUACAAUCUAGAAAGCACUUGAAAUAAUGUCUUUUCUGUAGCCCUUUUUAAUAACAUAUUCUGGACCCAUAUCUAACUUGACUUUCAUGUAGUGGAGUGACUUAGUGAGUCUAUAGUGACAUGGAAUAAAUCUUUUCAUGUCUGAAUUACCACAGAAGUAUUUUACAAUGACAGUUAGUGAAAAUGACUUGUCCAGAAUCGGUUCCAUUUACUUUUGUUCCCAGUUUAAUAAAUCAGCUUUACAUGACUACUGUGUUUAAAAUUAAAGCAUACUUUUGAAAUGCAUAUAGAUAAUUACACCUAUACUCUAUAUCUUGCUAUAUGUAUAGUGUCAGAAGUUUGACAUCUCAUUCACAAUACUGUAAGCUGGGUGAAUGAUUUGUGAUUUGUUUACUUAAUAGGUAGAGGAGAUACGUCAGUACAUACCUAAGCUACUGCAAUGCUAGACUUUUAACUACAUGUACAUUUCUGCCAAAUAAUUAAGUACAUCUCCAAAGAUUAUGUACUCCUUCCUAUAAUGUCUUGUUUGGAAACAAAGUAGUGAGUAAUUUCAAACUUUAAAAGAUCAUUCAAAAAUGGUAAGUUUGACAAAGAUGGCAGUAUCAAUAAUUCUAUCAGCUUUCCAGUAUUGACAAUCAGUGAAUUUCUCUAGUUAUAUACUGUUUUAUAUAUUUUCUUGAGUUCUCUUCUCUUCUUUCUUCUUGAGCAGGAGAUGCAAAACAAAGAUCCAUAAGAGCCCACCUGCUGCAGUUAGAAACAUCAUAUUAUAUAAAAAUAUACUUUCUUUACCAUUUCUCGUUAUUAUCAGUUUGCUUGUUUCAUGUCCAGUCCUCAGUUUGUUAAAUGCUUGUAUAUUUCAAAAGUCGUGUGCACUUUUUAGCUUAUGGAUAUUCCCUGGGCCAGUUUUUAUUGCAAAUAAUGCUAUUUAUUUCUCAGUGUAGAUUGUCCACAGCAGCAUAACACAUUGUUUUGUGAAAAUCAGUCUUUGUCUGAAUGUCUUAUGAAAACAAGCAAGCUAAAGAGACUAAAUUUUUAAGUACAUACUGAUUUAUCUGAAAGCUGUUUCACUGUUUUUGUAUUAUUCUCUUCGUGUCACAUAAAUUCACAUCAGAGAGAAUAACAAGCUUAUGUGUUAAUAUAGCACAUUGAGAUGAGCAGUUUAAUUUCAGAGUUUUCAGGACAUUGAAGAACAGGAUCACUAAAUUCUCCCUAAAGUAAAUGCUGGAGUCCUGAUUUCGGCAAAAAUCCAGAUGUAGUGGAUGGAGUAUGCAUUGAUUUCCCAUCUGAUUAGUAUGCAGAGCUGCACUACAAGAUAGCUUGAAAUGUCUCCCUAUAGUAAAAUGCAUCAUUUGCAUAAAACUGAUAACAUGUGUUCCUUUUUAGGACUUUCAUUUCACUUUACAAAUCCAUUUCAUACUUGUUAUUAGAUCCCUGUCUGGGCGCAUUGUUGGAGGUGUGUGGUGGUUCUUUACCCUCAUCAUAAUCUCAUCCUACACGGCUAACUUAGCUGCC
Cygnus olor (mute swan) is the source of this 6021-nucleotide RNA transcript. It is a transcript of the gene named glutamate ionotropic receptor AMPA type subunit 2, with no coding region annotated. Lineage: Eukaryota; Metazoa; Chordata; Aves; Anseriformes; Anatidae. The record is from RefSeq and is a predicted model, not a curated record. The transcript has 12 exons.